RNAcentral lists this unclassified non-coding RNA (223 nucleotides) under uncultured fungus. RNAcentral describes it as "sequence contains ITS1". Lineage: Eukaryota; Fungi. The record is from RNAcentral.
GUAUAAGUUUACCGACGCUUUUUUAAGGCGAAGAUAUCGAUUUUACAUUCUAUGAGACAUGCGUCGAUGAAAUGAGACGUAGGGACCCUUUUUACAGGCCCUUACAUUAGGUUCACAAGUGUGUGUGGAUUAAGGGCUCGGGCGUGCACAUGCCCCGAGAGGCCAGCUACAACCCUCACCUAUAAUUUCAAUAAUGAUCCUUCCGCAGGUUCACCUACGGAAA